Molecule: transfer RNA, 71 nt
Filed under: Phrynosoma platyrhinos (Desert horned lizard)
Lineage: Eukaryota; Metazoa; Chordata; Lepidosauria; Squamata; Phrynosomatidae
Description: tRNA-OTHER
Source: RNAcentral
GCCAGGGUGGUGUAGUGGUUUGAGUAUUGGACUAUGACUCUGGAGACCAGGGUUCGAUUCCUGCUCGGUCA